AGCAGCCGCGGUAAUUCCAGCUCCAAUAGCGUAUAUUAAAGUUGUUGCAGUUAAAAGCUCGUAGUUGAACUUCGGGGUUUACCCAUUGGUCAGGCUUAAUUGUCUGUACUGGUGAGAUGAAUCUCUACCUUCUGAGGAACUUUCAUGCCAUUUAUUUGGUGUGAUGGGAAAUCAGGACUGUUACUUUGAAAAAAUUAGAGUGUUUAAAGCAGGCUAACGUCUGAAUACAUUAGCAUGGAAUAAUGAAAUAGGACGGACUGAUUCUAUUUCGUUGGUUUCUAGGAUCACCGUAAUGAUUAAUAGGGAUAGUUGGGGGCAUUAGUAUUCAAUUGUCAGAGGUGAAAUUCUUGGAUUAUUGAAGACUAACUACUGCGAAAGCAUUUGCCAAGGAUGUUUUCAUUAANCAAGAACGAAAGUUAGGGGAUCGAAGACGAUCAGAUACCGUCGUAGUCUUAACCAUAAACUAUGCCGACUAGGGAUCGGACGAAGUUAAUUUUAUAAUGACGCGUUCGGCACCUUA
Molecule: unclassified non-coding RNA, 520 nt
Filed under: uncultured Glomus
Lineage: Eukaryota; Fungi; Glomeromycota; Glomeromycetes; Glomerales; Glomeraceae
Description: SSU rRNA
Rfam family: Eukaryotic small subunit ribosomal RNA
Source: RNAcentral